AAGCCUCUCUCAGCGCUGAGGUCAAGGUGCCUGAGAAUAGGCAACUUAAAACUGUUGAGCGUGCUGACGCGACCGGCUUGGGGACUGAAGACAUCGGCGCGUGACGGCCUGCCAAUAUUCUCUUUGAUCCUGAAGUUGCAGAAUGUCUCCUCAAAACCAUUCUGUCCUUGUUGCCCCUGUUGUCUCUGAAUUCCCUGUUCUCGUCUUUCCUCCUGUUGUGACUCUGGUGGCUGGAUGAAAUCGAGACGUCCUCUAACUCUCACGAUUUGGGGUCUGUUGUCUUUCUGUCCCUGAAGCUGCUGGGCAGUCUGUUGGUCAAUGUUCAAAGCAUCAGCGAGGAGCUGUGUGUUGAAGCCUGCAAAGAUGUUGUUGUUUCCUUGUCGUUGUUGUUGCUGGUGCCUGCUCCUUCCUCCUUGCUGUUGCUGGUGCCUGCUCUUUUCUCCUUGCUGUUGCUGGUCCUGGUCCCAUUGACUUUGGCCUUCCGCUUGUUGUCCACGUCCUUGCCGUCCUCGUUGCCUUUGGCUUUGCCCGUGUUGGUUAAACUCAUCUUGUGGAUUACCCGCUAGAUAGAAUCUCUAUACACAUAACAAUAGUACAAUACAUGUAUGUGAUCUGCAGUCAGCAAUGAUAACAAGUAAUCUACCAAUAAAUAUGCAAAUAUAUUUGGGGGUGUAAAUGGACAGUGUGCUCAUUAGUAGAUAUUUAAUUUACCCUAGGGUUACGAUCAAGCUGGUUUUGGUUGUUGCCGAUGUCAAGAAGACUGACAGCAACAAGAGGUUGAUCACCGUCAUUGUAGGACCAGUAGGUGACUCCGGCAGGAAUAGCAACAACGUCACCUUCUCUGAUGCGUCGAACCUUCUGGUGUCUGUCUAGCUGUUCGAAGCUUUCUUGUCCCUGUUGGCCUUGCUGGCCUUGUUGUCUAUGACGGCCAUGCUGUCCACGGUCUUGCUGCUCUUGUUGUUCACGGCCUUGCUGUCCAUGACGCCCUUGCCAUUGUUGUUGACCCUGUUGUUCUUCAUCAGAUUGUUCUGAUUCUUCAAAAGACUCAGGACAGCCAGGGAAUACAGUAGAUAGAAAACCAUUUCCUGCCGUAAUUAUAUGAAUAUAUUACACACCAUAUACAGAUACAUAUUAAUACAUAUCCAACAUUUAUAAUAUUAGAUAGAAAUGGUUCCGGUUACACAGUACCUUGGACAAUAUAUAUGAGCUGUGGUGCGUGGGUGUAAGAAGGCAAGUGAAGGCCAUUUCUUUCAACAGUGAUUCGUUGAACAGCAACACCAGCACACCGGAAGUCGUCCUGGUUGUAGUUCCAGGACUCGAUCCUACCCGCUUCAGUCUCAAUGCGGUUAUCAGGUUCGCGGGCUUGGAUCUGAUCAAGUUGGCACUCAUUCUGCUGGCUCGACUGAGAUUGUUGGCGCGCUGCUAAGCAGCUGUGGAAGAGGACAAGCAAGCAAAGAGAAAAGGCGAGAGCUAUAGGCUUAGCCAUAGUGUUGAUCAGAUAAGUAUAUAGCUUGUCGUGGUGAAGCGGCGAGUAGAAGGUGUGGUAUUUAUACUUUUAUAGGAUAGAGAAGCUGAAGAGGGAAGGAUAAGUACAACAACGUACAUCUGUAAAUAGUCUGAAGCCAUUCUUAUCUUUGCAUGGCAAAAGCAUUUCACAUUCUUACACCUCAUUUCUCCCAGGGCAGGUGGCUCAUGGCUUCAGAGAAGAUACAAAGUGCCUAACAAGGUGGGGUUUUGCCAUGAUUGUCUGCAAGUGAAGCGAAAUUCUACUGCCUUGAACCUGGUCCAAUAAAGAGCAAAAUUUAUGAGAGGACUAAGAUAUGUUCUUACCAGUUUUAGUAAAAUAGUAUUACAUCAGCACCAACCUGAUGAACAUCUUCUAUAAUGUAGGCAAGGUUCAAAAAUGGCUGUUCUUAUCUUCCUAGUAGCCAUCCAUACUCUGUCAUUUUAUGAGUCAAAGUUUAAUAUUUAAAACUUAUGUAGACAUUCCAACAAUAAAACUUAAAAGUUCUUAACUCUAGUUGGUAAUACUUUGACACGUCAAACUUCUUUGAUUUCUUCCAGAAGCAUAAGCAUCUGGUUCUCACGUUGCUAAUCACUUCACCUAUCUAGUUUUCCUACCAAAAAGAAUCUGAUAUAGAUAGAAAAGUUAGCCAUAAAUGUAGGACUUACUGUGAACAAUGUCCCAAUUCCAACCUCAAAGAUUAGAAUCUAAAAGCUCGUAACUCAAAAUUAUACAACAUCAUUAUAUUCACAAUAAAAAGUACUCUGACAUAAGGUUUAGUUCAGUUUAGUGCUUCUUGAAAAAAAAGAUGAAGACUUCAACUGUUCUACAACAUAAUUGUCUAUAUCUAUACUCAAAAUGAUCAAUAAUCGUUUAUCCUACCAUAUUUCUUGUAUGGAAUAUCUUGUUACAUUUUGUUUUCAUAGCAAAAUGUUGCAAUAUUUGAGUGAUAGAUACACUGCCAACAUGGUGUACAAGUUCCACAGCCAAGAUUUUUGGGCUCACGACAACUCUUAAGGCUUAAGAACCAGUAAUGCAUGGUUGAACUAGGGAGCAGCCAUUGCUGAAGGCUCCUCCUCAAAACGAUCCAUUGCUUUAUUACCCCAUGGUUGGAAAACCUGCCAACAGUCAAAAUUUCCUCUUCCCCCGCAGUCGAUAUUUUCUCAUCUCAAUAAAUUUUAUUCAUCCAAAACAUAAAUCCUUUUGUUUAAGUACCCGCCAGUAUAUCUAAUAUCUGUGACAAGCCGAGUGCUGACAGCUGAUAUUUUAAAACUUGGGAUUCCCUAUAGCCCCUCUCAUUAUAACCCCUCUAAUGUUAAAGCUUCUGCUAAAGACACAUCUCUAGUUCCUCGAGCUAAUGCUACAUCCGCAAUGCAAUUGUUCCCAUGCAAUGAUUAGCCAGAGGAAAACUCGAGGAGCUCCCUUGACUCUGAUCAAUUUAGCCUCAAGUCUCGAACUUGUUCUUUGAAAGUCAGUGAAGAGGCUACUUCUUUAACUGGUGAUGGUGCUCAACCAAUGUUAAGCCAGACAGAGGAUAGUUAAGUGAAUCUGGUCGGGAAGACCUAAAAAGAGCAAAACUUCUUGCUUUCCCUUGCUACACAACGAGUACUACUAAAAGGUCGAUUCCAACAAAAGAGCUCAGGAUGUUGUUAUUAAUGGGGUUGGGACUUGAGUUCUCGGGUGGGAAUGUGAAGGUGCAGCAGUUGCUUUGCAACUCUACUUUACUGUCCUUGUCCAAGCUGAUAAGGGUGGGACGACAUUGAACGGCCUUAUUUACAGGUCCUCUAUAUAUUGGAAUACUUGACUGUCUCAGAAAGGACUUGCCAAGUGAUUCCCUAAUUCUAAUGCUCAGACCUCGGCCUAUUUGAAAUGUCUGAUAGAAACUAGUUUGAGGAAUAAUUAGCUUCUUUACCUGUGAGUACAUGUUUCUAUGGAAGGUUUCUGUAAUGCUAGCUUUCCUUCUGCUAUAAGGAAGGUGACCAAGCUUUUAAUCCUAACACCAAAGUUAAACCUUUUCCAAAGAAAGGGGGUCAAAACCUGUAGAAUAUUAUGUAACAGGUUGAACCUAACACAUAAAGUUCAGCAAUCAUCCAUGAUCCAUCUUCUAUCAUAUUUUUACUGAACCAAAGAUUAAGUAAUCAACACUGGCAGUUGUUUAUGUAAGUUAUUCUGAUAAAGAAAAAAGAUCCAUCACUACCCUUAAACUUAUUGUGCCACAAAACACAAAUGACUUCAAUUGUUCCUAUCGCAUAGAAACCAAACUUUUGUCAUUGUUUCUUGGAAUUAUUCUGUACACAUCACUUCUGUGCAAUCAUGCACAAAAUAGAAUCAAAAUACCAUGACAAUGACAAAGGGUUUAAUUCAAUUUGGCACUUCUUACCAACACUAUGCUCCUCCAAAUGGUCCUCAUAGUCAAAGGGACUUCCCCAUAUCCCUUGUUCCAAAAUUAGCUUCUUUACCCAGAAUCAAUCAUCCUACUACGCUCAAAAUAUCUAAUUUCUCAAUACUCUACUGAUUCAAUUGAGUUGAAGACAAAGUAGACAACAAUUAACAGAUCAAAUGUGAAAGUACAUAAUUCAAUAGACUCACGAUUGCUGAGUUGCAGGUCACUGGUUGUGGUGUGUCUGAUCAGCAGGAGCUACGUUUCAAGCACGCCCUCGUGAAGCAAUCUCGUCCCCGACGCGACCUCUGGUAGUCGGAAUAUGCGGCCGGAUAACAUGAUCCGGCGAUCCCGUCUUUCACAUUGUGUUUGGUUGGACAUUGGCGGUUCCAGCAGUUCAGUUACUAUUGGUCUUCACCCUCUCAGCGCUCAACCUCUUCUAGUCUCUCCUUUUAUUCUUGUACUUGUCAGUUGUCACAGUUGCUAUCUAUGUGAUUGUUCCACGUGGAUUUUAUUUUCCUGCAAAUUCCCAAAUUAAUUAUUAUUUUGUCCAAAAUUUCCAGAUGAAUUGUUUGUUGUCUUUGAUGUUUUUUUUUCUUUUGUAAAAAGAUCGUAUGACCCCUUAUAUGGAUAUUUUCAGGAGACUUCUUGCCGCCUUCACGCUGUUCACGUUCCACAUACAUAUAUACAUGCAGCUCAACAUGCUUUUUCACCAACUUCACUGAGUUCUUUGAUGAUUCUAAUCAUUCGAUGGAAUCACAAAAUAGUUAGUUUAUACAACAGAGUUCGUGAGCUGCUUAUUUUAUAGUUUAAUUUUGGCGUGACGUCAUUAGUUAAAGCUCGACGAAGCAUGCUGUUUUUCUUUUCUAUCAAGAGCGUGAUUAGCUGGUUUGGAAAUUUCAUUUCUAUUUUUCUCGUUCUUAUUGAGAGUCAAACUUUGAAGAAAUGAUAGUCAAACUUCGAAGAAAUGAUUGGAGUCAAACCUGAUGAUUACAGACAAGGGGUGAGCUGCUGAUAUGCAAUUACAGCCAAAGCAAAUUACUGACUUAAAUCUAAGGGGCAAAGCUUCACAAUUUAGAUAAAACACCAACUCACCAAGUAUAGUUGAGGCAAAAAGAAAAUUCAUUUAACGAGAAUAUGACUACAAGAACGUAGUAGCUCGUUAUUUACUAGUUUGUACAUAAGAUCUCAUAUCUUCCGAAGAUGCCAUAUAAAGGCCAUUUUUAUUCACUCUACCCUUUAGCUCGCUGGUACCAUAUUCACUAGCUUAUUCACCGCACAAAAAACACUACGUGCGCAUUACAUACAUAUUCAUACUCAGACAAACAUCUCAGCAAUAUCCAACCAGUUCCUGUGGGAUCGAGGAGACCUUGAUGAGCUCAAAGCAACAGUCUCCUGCCUGUUGUACUUGAGAGUCCUUGCCUGUUGUCGAUCAAUCUGGUAUGCGUUAGCGAGGACCACGUCAGGGAGUGCCCGCAAGACUGAGGUCCGGCCAGCAAGAGUGUUAAUCUUAGCAUUGUCUUGGGUCUUGAAAGCAAUGUAUUCGAAUCCAUUGUUGCUAGCCUUAUGCAACACUGCAUGGUUCUGUGGCACAAUGAAGAGCUGGCCCUGGCGGACCUCGUUGUCCAAGAUGGCCUGGCCGUUGUUGUUCACAACCUGAACCCUAGCACUACCUCUAAUGACGUAGUAGACUUCAUGGGCGUUCAAGUUCCAGUGAGGACUGUAGAUAGCAUUCUGCAAGUACCACAAACAAGAUUAGUAAUCAUAAUCAAUAACCUCAAUUGAUUCAAAAGGACCUAUAUCGUUGAUUAUAUAUACUUACGUUAUAGAAGAAGCCUCUCUCAGCGCUGAGGUCAAGGUGCCUGAGAAUAGGCAACUUAAAGCUGUUGAGGGUGCUGAUGCGACCGGCUUGGGGACUGAAGACGUCAGCGCGUGAAGGCCUGCCGAUAUUCUCUUUGAUCCUGAAGUUGCAGAAUGUCUCCUCAAAACCAUUCCGUCCUUGUCCCUGUUGUCUCUGAAUUCCCUGUUGUUGUCUUUCCUCCUGUUCUGACUCUGCUGGCUGAACAAAGUCGAGACGUCCUUUAACUCUCACGAUUUGGGGUCUGUUGUCGUUCUGUCCCUGAAGCUGCUGGGCAGUCUGUUGAUCAAUGUUCAGAGCGUCAGCGAGGAGCUGUGUGUUGAAGCCGGCGAAGAUGUUCUUGUUGUUUCCUUCUUGUUGCUGGUGCCUGCUCCUUCCUCCUUGCUGUUGCUGGUGCCUGCUCCUCUCUCGUUGCUGUUGCUGGUCCUGGUCCCAUUGACUUUGUCCUUGCUGGCCCCGACGACUCUGGCUUUGCCCGUGUUGGUUAAACUCAUCUUGUGGAUUACCAGCCAGAUAGAAUCUCUACAUACAUAACACAUCAUGCAUGUGAUCAGAAAAAACUAGCAAGCCAACAGUAAGAGUGCUAUUGUACCUCCACAAAAGAAAAUAUAUACAUAUCACAUUUGCUAAUUAAUUUACCCUGGGGUUACGGUCAAGCUGGUUUUGUUGGUUGCCGAUAUCAAGAAGAUUGACAGCAACAAGAGGUUGGUCACCGUCGUUGUAGGACCAGUAGGUGACUCCAGCAGGAAUAGCAAUCACAUCACCUUCUCUGAUGCGUUGAACCUUCUGGUGUCUGUCUAGCUGCUCGAAACUCUCUUGUCCCUGUUGGCUGUGCCGCCCUUGUUGUCUAUGACGACUUUGCUGUCCAGGGCCUUGUUGCCCUCGUUGACCACGGCCUUGUUGUUCAUACUCUUCCUGUUCUUGUUGCCCGCGGCCUUGCUGUCCAUGGCGCCCUUGCUGGCCUUGCCACUGUUGUUGACCUUGUUCUUCAUCAGAUUGCUCAGAUUCUUCAAAAGUUUCAGGACAGCCAGGGAAAACAGUUGAUAGAAAACCAUUGCCUACAGGGUAUAAAUGAAUGAUUUUAACCACAUACGUACUUGUAUUCAAAAAAUUUAUACUAAAUUUAACCAAUUGCAUUUAUACAAUACCUUGCACUAUGUAAGUGAGUUGUGGAGCAUGGGAGUAAGAAGGCAAGUGAAGGCCAUUUCUUUCUAUGGUAAUUCGUUGAACGGCAACACCAGCACAUUGGAAAUCGUCCUGGUUGUAGUCCCAGGAUUCGAUCCUACCCGCUUCAGUCUCAAUGCGGUUAUCAGGUUCACGGGCUUGGAGCUGAUCUAAUUGGCAUUCAUUUCGCUGGCUCGACUGAAAUUGUUGGUGAGCUGCUAAGCAGCUCUGGAAGAGGACAAGCAAACAGAGAGAAAAGGCGAGAGCUAUAGGCUUAGCCAUAGUGAUGAUCAGAGAGAUAGCUAGCUAGUUGUGGUGAAGCGGCGAGUAGAAGGUGUGGUAUUUAUAGGAUAGAGAAGGUGAAGAGACAAAAAUAAGUACAAUAACAUUAAAGAUCUGAAGCCGUUCUUCUCUUUGCAUGGCAAUAGCAAUUUACAUUCUUCCACCUCAUUCCUUCCAGGGCAGGUGGCUCAUGACUUCAGAGAAGAUACAAAGUGCUAUGAAUAAGGUGGCAACCAGAAGCGGUUUGCAAUUGUCUGCAAGUGAAGCAAAAUUUUACACCCUUGAACCUGGUCCCAAUACAGGGAAAAAUUAAUGAGAGAAGUCAGAUAAGUUCGUUCUAAAUUUGGUAAAAUGAUAUUACAUCAGCCCCAACCUGAUGAACAUCUUCUAUGAUCCAGACAAGGUUCAAAAAUGUAAGAUCUCAUCGGAAAAAAAAUGUAUGUUAGAUAAGUACUGAAUGAUGUGUCAGGAACCUCAAGACAUUUUUCUAUAUGCAAUUUAUCAUUGUUUCACAUUCUUACAGCUCAUUUCUUUGACCAGGUGGCUUAUGGCUUCAGAGAAGACUCAAAGUGGCUUGAACAAUGUGUCAACCAGGUGGGAAUGACAUGAUUUUCAAAUGCAGCAAAGAUUUACUGCCGUGAAUAAUGCAAAAUUAAUUAUACAAACAAGAUCUAUAGCUGUUCAAUGCAUAGUUUGGAAAAGUAAAAUCAUACCAACACCAACCUGAUAAACUCAUCUAUGAUGCAUGCAUGGUGAAAAAUUAUAACAUUUUCAUCUUUCCUACAGUAAUCAGCAUAGUCUAUCCUUUCAUGAAUCAAAAUUAAUACUUCAAGUCUAUGCACAUAAAAUCUUACUAAAAAUAAUGCAGUUUAGUGGUUUAUAUAAGUUUCUUUGCAAACAAAUCUGAACUCCAUCACUAUUCUUGAAACUACUGUGACCCAUCAACGUUAUUACCUCAGCUAUCAACCAUUCUCAUGUCAUAAAGAUUCAGAAUUUGCAAUAUUACUCCUAGAAGUUCUCUGUUCAUCUACAGAAAGGAGUCUCGUAGAAGCUACUGUUGUGAUAGAAGCUAGGAUAGCUAAUGCUGCAAAAUUGAUCUCCGAGAAGCUAUUGUUGUUAAAAUCCCAUCUCAUAAAAUUUUCUCCUGUUUCAAAAAUUAAAAAAUAUAAAAAAUUGUCUCCCUUUGAUUAAAGCACCCUGAACACCAGAAAUGGUGUCACUUAAAACCUCUCUCAAUCUCCAAGCUAACACUUUUGCGAUAAUUUCAUACAAGCUUGAUAAUCAAGCUGUGGACUUCUGUAGAUGAACAGAGAACUUCAAGGAGAACUACCACUUUUGGACUAAUUUUACAACCAAGACUUUACUUCUACUACUUUGUUAUAAAAGAUUGCAAGGCAUCAAUAGACGAUAUAUAGUUGAUAAGACUGGAUGCAAUCCACUCAAAUGCAUUUCAAAAAACUAUAUUCAAUGAGUAAUUUGAGUUGUUUUUUUCUUCCAACUCAAAAACUUGAACAAACCUCGAUUCUAAUACUCUAAACAAAGAAUUUAACCCGGAAUCGAAAGAUCAAUACUGAAAAACAUAAUCUGAUACAUAAACAUGUGUUAUCAUUUGUAAAACAUCAGAUACAACCUAUUUGCACAAAAUGGGUUACACAUCUCUAACAAAGGCUUAGACUUUAGAUAUCAAAAGAAUUCCAAUUUGUCCUCUUCUACACAAUUCUAACAAAUGCUCAAGUCCUUUAAGGCCUUGUAUUUAGAUGCUAAGAAGAGUAAAAAAUGGGCCUAUUGGCAGGAUUUAAAUUGAAAAUCUUGAUUUAAAAAUGGUUGAAUUCCAGAUCAGUCUACAGAGAAUCUAGUAAUUCUAUGCUUCAAAAACUCAUUUGCCCCUCUUUAAAUCCUCACAAUGUGGGGUUGAUUAGCUUCCUUUAACCAAGAGUAACAUGGUUCUAUGAAAAACAAGCAUUAAUGAAUCAAACAGAGAUCACAACACAAUAACAAAUAGAUCAAACUUUGAAAUCAACUAAUAUUAGACUCCCAAAUUCCAAGUUCAAGUAGGCUGUUGUUGAAUCACGCGUUACCUCGCGAAGCGAGUCUCGCUUCCCACGACGUUGCAUUUCUUGCUCGUCGGCGUAUGACGCCGGAGAAAACGAUUCGGCGACCACGUCUUCCAUUUUUCCCUUCAUUUUCUGAUCCUGGUUUGCUCUCUGGUUUUCUACCUAUUGUGUUGGGCUUUAUUACAUACUUUUGGGUCCUUUUUCCUUUUAUUUUUCUUUUUCUUUCAUUUUAAAAGUCGAAUAGUUUCCUAAUAUUUCGAAAAAUUAAAAGUCGAGUACCUCACAGUAUCUAGUUUUUAUUUGAUAAAUCAGUAUCUAGUUUUUUUUUUUUAAGAAAGAGCUUCUAGUUUUCAUAUUCAUUUGAUAAAUAAAAGUAAUUUUAACCUCUCGUGUGCAUUUAAGUUGUCUAUUAUGGUGAGAAAAGUUUCCUAAAAGAAAACUAUGGUGAGAAAAACAAGAGCAUUCGAAAUGAGAAGAACAUGAAGGUGGAUUUGAGAGGAGCCAAAACGCGAAUCAAAGGAAGAAGAAAGAGAUUUCAUUAGAAAAAAGUGUAACGCGAAUCAAAGGAAGAAGAAAGAGAUUUCAUUAGAAAAGAGUGUUUGAGACUACAAGUAGAGUAGCUAUUUAUUAACUUGUGGCAUUAGAUCUCUCUCCUAGUACCACGAGACCCAUAUAAAAGGCUACUUUUAUUGAUUAUCUACCUCUUAGCUUAGCAAGUACCACAUUAACACUACAUGCCGCUAAAUUUUUCAUUUGCUCCCAUCAGUAUCUCUAGAACUGUGAGGACCUUGAUGAGCUCAAAGCAAGAGUCUCCUGCCUGUUAUACUUGAGGUCCUUGCCUGCUCGCGGUCCAUCUGGUAGGCGUUGGCGAGGACCACGUCGGGGAGUGAUCGCAAGACGGAGGUCCUGCCAGCUAGAGUGUUGACCAUGGCAUUGUCAUUGGUCUUGAAGGCAAUGUACUCGUACCCGUUGCUCUGGGCUUUUUGCAACACGGCGUGGUUUUGCGGCACGAUGAAGAGUUGUCCCUGGCGGACCUGGUCGUCCAAGAUGGUCUCACCGUUGUCGUUCACCACCUGAACCCUGGCGCUACCUCUGAUGACAUAGAUGAUCUCAUGAGCAUUCAAGUUCCAGCGGGGGCUGUGGAUAGCAUUCUGCAUGUACCAUUACCAGAUAAAUUUCAGGAUUAAUUGAUCAAUAGGUAACUAAAUUUAAUUAUUAGAAACAUACAUGCUAGAAUACUCACGUUGUAGAAGAAACCUCUCUCAGCGCUGAGACGGAGGUGCCUGAGAAUAGGCAUGCUGAAGCUGUUGAGGGUGCUGAUGCGACCGGCUUGUGGGCUGAAGACGUCAGCCAUGGAAGGCUUGCCGAUGUUCUGCUUGAUCUGCAUGUGGCAGAAUAC
Molecule: long non-coding RNA, 10641 nt
Filed under: Fragaria vesca (wild strawberry)
Lineage: Eukaryota; Viridiplantae; Streptophyta; Magnoliopsida; Rosales; Rosaceae
Description: long non-coding RNA (FVES_LNC000569)
Source: RNAcentral